CUGCCUGCCAUGGGAUGAGCACCUUUCCUCUGCCAUCCCCUCCUCAUACUGUUUCUGCCUGGGACCCAACUGACCAUGGACUGAAACUGUGAGCCAAAAUUCACUGGUGAAGCAGAAAUACCUUGGAAGGGAGGACAUGGAAGUCACAUGCAGGCUUCGUAAGGAACUGACCCCUCCAUAAAGGUGAGCCUAUUUAUGCUCUGCGCUGCAGGCUCACUGUGUGAACUCUCAUGCCUGCUUUGGAGCUUUUCCUGGGACCACUAGAUUCUUUCACCAACUAAAGGGGAAGUUGAGCACAGACAAGAGCAGUCUCUAGCUAUGAUGGCAAAAAGAAAGGAUGCAAGGAGAUUUAAGGCAAACCCAAAGCAAAUAUCCAUAAGCUGAUGCUUGAUGGAGAGAACUUUUGGAAAGGCCAAGCCAAG
This 422-nucleotide long non-coding RNA is filed under the name Heterocephalus glaber (naked mole-rat). RNAcentral's name for it is "lncRNA (ENSHGLG00000050542.1)". Lineage: Eukaryota; Metazoa; Chordata; Mammalia; Rodentia; Bathyergidae. The record is from RNAcentral.